GACGAACGCUGGCGGCGUGCUUAACACAUGCAAGUCGAACGGAAAGGCCCUGCUUUUGUGGGGUGCUCGAGUGGCGAACGGGUGAGUAACACGUGAGUAACCUGCCCUUGACUUUGGGAUAACUUCAGGAAACUGGGGCUAAUACCGGAUAGGAGCUCCUGCUGCAUGGUGGGGGUUGGAAAGUUUCGGCGGUUGGGGAUGGACUCGCGGCUUAUCAGCUUGUUGGUGGGGUAGUGGCUUACCAAGGCUUUGACGGGUAGCCGGCCUGAGAGGGUGACCGGCCACAUUGGGACUGAGAUACGGCCCAGACGCCUACGGGAGGCAGCAGUGGGGAAUAUUGCACAAUGGGCGGAAGCCUGAUGCAGCAACGCCGCGUGCGGGAUGACGGCCUUCGGGUUGUAAACCGCUUUCGCCUGUGACGAAGCGUGAGGGACGGGAAUGGGGAAAGAAGCACCGGCGAACUACGU
RNAcentral lists this ribosomal RNA (467 nucleotides) under uncultured bacterium. Its description in RNAcentral is "partial 16S ribosomal RNA". It matches the Rfam family "Bacterial small subunit ribosomal RNA", at positions 28 to 506 of the family's 1533-position model. The record is from RNAcentral.